Molecule: ribosomal RNA, 449 nt
Filed under: uncultured bacterium
Lineage: Bacteria
Description: bacterial SSU rRNA
Rfam family: Bacterial small subunit ribosomal RNA
Source: RNAcentral
GGCCAGACUCCUACGGGAGGCAGCAGUGGGGGAUAUUGCACAAUGGGGGAAACCCUGAUGCAGCGACGCCGCGUGAGUGAAGAAGUAUUUCGGUAUGUAAAGCUCUAUCAGCAGGGACGAAAAUGACGGUACCUGAGUAAGAAGCCCCGGCUAACUACGUGCCAGCAGCCGCGGUAAUACGUAGGGGGCAAGCGUUAUCCGGAUUUACUGGGUGUAAAGGGAGCGUAGACGGUUAUGCAAGUCUGGAGUGAAAGGCGGGGGCUCAACCCCCGGACUGCUCUGGAAACUGUUGUACUUGAGUGCAGGGGAGGUAAGUGGAAUUCCUAGUGUAGCGGUGAAAUGCGUAGAUAUUAGGAGGAACACCAGUGGCGAAGGCGGCUUACUGGACUGUAACUGACGUUGAGGCUCGAAAGCGUGGGGAGCAAACAGGAUUAGAUACCCUAGUAGGA